GGAGGUUUGUCCUUUAAAAAUCAAACUGCCAUGGAAACUGCUUUACCUGAAAUUUUGGUUCACAGCCUUCCUUGCAUAAUCUAUUGGGGCAAACAAAGUAAAACCAGCAAAAUGGCAUUGCUAUCUCAUGGCUAGGAUUCUAAGGAAAACAAUUAAAGCUUCAGAUAUAUGUGAUCACCUGAUGGACCACUCAAAUAUUUUAUAAAGGGAUUUCAUUCAAUUUUUACCUUCAAUGCAUGUUUUCUGGUUAUAUAAAUGCUCUCCCACACAAGAGGGCUGAUGUUAUAACACUAAGUUAUUAUGCCACAGUGCAUUUUCAUCUGGUAAAGAAAGCUUUUUAUGAUUCACUGAAGACAAUCAAGCCUUUCACAAUCUAGAACCCAAAAAUUGGAUCUUCUGAGAACAUCAGAGAAAGACUGUCCUUGCCAUCCACAUUGCAGCCAAAGUUUGGAAACUUGAACUUUGGGUUCAUAAUCUCACAACUAAGAAGUGUCCCUCCACACUCAUGGAACUGUACACCCGUUGGAACCCUUAAGAGACCGUCAAGCUUCAUAUGAUCAUGCGACAGGGGUUCCAGCCAGUUCCAGGUAAAGACACCACCCCUGGCCGUCAUGGAGCUACCCUGCCUUCACUAGACAGAGCAUGGCAAGAGUUCUGUGAUCUCCAAUAGGUAGUGACUAUGCCCCAAGCCAGCAUGAAGCAGUCACAGAAGAAAGAGCACCAGAUCCGCCACCUCCCAUAAAGAUUUAUGGAGAUUACAUCUUUCAGGGGGGAAAUGAGGAAGGAGAAUAGGGCCUGGAGACAGGGAACCUAAAGACUUCCUAGAAUGAAAUCAAAUGGAAACACAUCAGCUAUUUCGGGAAAUAUCCUCUUUACUUACAUAGGGCAUAUACCAAGUUACCAAUGGAAAUGUCUAGAGGGUAUUUAAACCCCAGAAAAUACAGUAACAGAGCUCUUGAGCCCCUAUGCUCAGGCCCAUUCCCACCCUAUGGAAUGUACUUUCAUUUACAAUAAAUCUCUGUUUUUGCUGCUUUA
Molecule: long non-coding RNA, 1035 nt
Organism: Macaca mulatta (Rhesus monkey)
Lineage: Eukaryota; Metazoa; Chordata; Mammalia; Primates; Cercopithecidae
Source: RefSeq, a predicted model, not a curated record